ACAGAGGGCAGCCAAGUCGUGAGGCGGAGCUAAUCCCUUAAAGCCAUUCCCAGUUCGGAUUGUAGGCUGAAACUCGCCUACAUGAAGCUGGAGUUACUAGUAAUCGCAGAUCAGAAUGCUGCGGUGAAUGCGUUCCCGGGUCUUGUACACACCGCCCGUCACACCACGGAAGUUGGGGGCGCCCGAAGCCACUUAGCUAACCCUUUUGGGAAGCGAGUGUCGAAGGUGAAAUCAAUAACUGGGGUGAAGUCGUAACAAGGUAAC
This 264-nucleotide ribosomal RNA is filed under the name uncultured bacterium. Its description in RNAcentral is "partial 16S ribosomal RNA". It matches the Rfam family "Bacterial small subunit ribosomal RNA", at positions 1239 to 1500 of the family's 1533-position model. The record is from RNAcentral.